AAAGCAGAAUUGGUAAAAUUAAUAAUGGCUUUGGUGUCUCUUUCUGAUUAAAUAAUACUAACUUUGGUUGUAUACAUCCAACCUCCAGAAUGGCAUAUUUGUUGACUACUAGGAAUGAUAGUUGUUCUUGGGUAGGGCUUGGUCAUAAGUUUUCUAACUGGCAUGAAUGAUUGCCUAGUAGAUUAUGCCACAAUGUUUGACAGCAACAUAUGAAAAUGAAGAGAGAUGUAAUACAUUAUCUUUCUUCUUUCUACUAUAGUUGGACAUCCUAUAGAAGAGGAAGGCCUUUCUCUUGGGCCUAACGAGGUAGGACUGGGACCACAAAAGUAGGGCUAACAUGGAGAUGGAAUCUCAUCUAUACUUAGCCUGAGAGACUCCAAUUAUGUGUUUGUUUGGAAGGAAAGGAAGAUGGAAGGAAUUGUAUUUUGACUCUAUAAGUUAAGAUACACUUCCUCCACUUUAUGUAUUUAGCUUGUAUUAUUCCUACUUUCCUUACCCUCUACCAAACACAGCCCCUCAUUGAUUGCUUUGGUGGAUGCAAAAGUAUUUUUAAUUAACAAUCCAGGAAAAGAGUAUUUCGUAACAAAAUUUUCUUUUAUCUACCGACCAAUAGAUCAGUAUUAAGAUCAUGUUAGAAUGUGAGUUGUUUU
RNAcentral lists this unclassified non-coding RNA (650 nucleotides) under Hevea brasiliensis (rubber tree). The record is from RNAcentral. Lineage: Eukaryota; Viridiplantae; Streptophyta; Magnoliopsida; Malpighiales; Euphorbiaceae.